This 870-nucleotide ribosomal RNA is filed under the name Paenibacillus sp. AA1. RNAcentral's name for it is "bacterial SSU rRNA". It matches the Rfam family "Bacterial small subunit ribosomal RNA", at positions 52 to 902 of the family's 1533-position model. Lineage: Bacteria; Bacillati; Bacillota; Bacilli; Caryophanales; Paenibacillaceae. The record is from RNAcentral.
UACAUGCAGUCGAGCGGACUUGAAGAGAAGCUUGCUUCUCUGAUGGUUAGCGGCGGACGGGUGAGUAACACGUAGGCAACCUGCCCUCAAGUUUGGGACAACUACCGGAAACGGUAGCUAAUACCGAAUAGUUGUUUUCUUCGCCUGAAGAGAACUGGAAAGACGGAGCAAUCUGUCACUUGGGGAUGGGCCUGCGGCGCAUUAGCUAGUUGGUGAGGUAACGGCUCACCAAGGCGACGAUGCGUAGCCGACCUGAGAGGGUGAUCGGCCACACUGGGACUGAGACACGGCCCAGACUCCUACGGGAGGCAGCAGUAGGGAAUCUUCCGCAAUGGGCGAAAGCCUGACGGAGCAAUGCCGCGUGAGUGAUGAAGGUUUUCGGAUCGUAAAGCUCUGUUGCCAGGGAAGAACGCUUGGGAGAGUAACUGCUCUCAAGGUGACGGUACCUGAGAAGAAAGCCCCGGCUAACUACGUGCCAGCAGCCGCGGUAAUACGUAGGGGGCAAGCGUUGUCCGGAAUUAUUGGGCGUAAAGCGCGCGCAGGCGGUCAUUUAAGUCUGGUGUUUAAUCCCGGGGCUCAACCCCGGAUCGCACUGGAAACUGGGUGACUUGAGUGCAGAAGAGGAGAGUGGAAUUCCACGUGUAGCGGUGAAAUGCGUAGAUAUGUGGAGGAACACCAGUGGCGAAGGCGACUCUCUGGGCUGUAACUGACGCUGAGGCGCGAAAGCGUGAGGAGCAAACAGGAUUAGAUACCCUGGUAGUCCACGCCGUAAACGAUGAGUGCUAGGUGUUAGGGGUUUCGAUACCCUUGGUGCCGAAGUUAACACAUUAAGCACUCCGCCUGGGGAGUACGGUCGCAAGACUGAAACUC